This 73-nucleotide transfer RNA is filed under the name Candidatus Coatesiibacteriota bacterium. RNAcentral's name for it is "Candidatus Coatesbacteria bacterium tRNA-Ala". It matches the Rfam family "tRNA". Rfam says of the family: Transfer RNA (tRNA) molecules are approximately 80 nucleotides in length. Their secondary structure includes four short double-helical elements and three loops (D, anti-codon, and T loops). The record is from RNAcentral. Lineage: Bacteria; Candidatus Coatesiibacteriota.
GGGGGUGUGGCGCAGUUGGAAGCGCGUCUGCGUGGCACGCAGAAGGUCAGGGGUUCGAAUCCCCUCACCUCCA